Molecule: non-coding RNA, 1178 nt
Organism: Monodelphis domestica (gray short-tailed opossum)
Lineage: Eukaryota; Metazoa; Chordata; Mammalia; Didelphimorphia; Didelphidae
Source: RefSeq, a predicted model, not a curated record
ACUUCUGUGUGCAACACCACUACAGAGGGAGGAGCAAGUGGGAUUUCAAGGAAAUAAGCCAGGAAGCUUGCUUUCUUCACUUCCAAGCUUGAUCACAUGGACUGCCUGGGCUGCUGGAGAGUCAGCUAAAUGGAGAUGCUAUAAUUAGGCUCUGAACCUGAUUGCUGUCAAGGUCAAUGACCAAACAAUGCGGUUAGCUAAACUUUGGCCUCUUUAUUCCACUGAAGUUUCAUGUCAAACUCGGAACUGCCCUGGAAACCACAAAAUAGGUAAUGCUGGAGUCAGGCCUAACCUGAGAGAGCAGAGGAGAAGGAAGAGGAAGAGAAGAAUAAAGAGGGAAAGGAGGAAGAGGAGGAAGAGGAAGAUGAGGAGCUGAAGGAGGAAGAAGAGAGAGAAACUGGCACAAAUACAGCACCUUCAGGUUUGCAAACUGUUUACAUAUAUUAUGUCUUUUAAUCCUCCCAAUAACCCUGGUUAUUACCUCCAGAGGACUUACAAAAAGGUGAGAAUUGGAGUUUAGUAUCAAGGAGAUCUCUAUGAAGGAGGUAGAUCCUAGUAGAGCUUUGAAGGACACAGUCAAGCAUAGGACUAAGGGAAAUCAUUUUGGUAGUUCUUUGGAAGAUAUAUUGGAAAGAGGAGAAAUUAUGUAGGCAUGGAGAUCAAUUAGACAUUAUUGUAGUAGUCUAAGAAAGAGAUGAUGAGUACCUAAACUAGCCAGUGCCAAAAGGAGUGGACAUGAAGGGAUGAAUGUGAAAAACAUAGAAUAGAUGAAAUAUGGUAAUUGUUUGGAAAAGGGAGGGAAGUAGAAAAGAGAAGGAAGAACCCAGGGUAGCUCGGAGACCACAAGCUUAGGGGUAAGCAGAUGAAUAGUAGUGCUUUCAGUAUAAAUUAGGAAGUUUGGAAAGAUACUAAUUUUUUUUUUCAUUUAAAAGGUGUGAUAGAGGCUGGCACUUAAAGAAAAAGUGCCAGACUGAAAAUUAUAUGAAAUUGAUCACCUCAAAGGAGGAGGGGCCCUAGGAGUGGAAUCCAGAGGAGAGAAGACUCUAGCUGGGAGAGUAGUGAGGGUCUCUUUGUCUUGAGAGGUAGAAGAGAGAAGGUGGAUAAAUACUUUCUCCUGAGGGUUAACCACUUUUUCUGCUGGUGACUGGAAAUCUUUCUCCUCAACACUUCCCAAUUGA